GGGAUAUAGCUUAGCUGGUAGAGUGCUUGCCUCCCAUGCAUAAGGCCCUGGGUUCAAUCCCCAGCACCCG
Molecule: transfer RNA, 70 nt
Filed under: Marmota monax (woodchuck)
Lineage: Eukaryota; Metazoa; Chordata; Mammalia; Rodentia; Sciuridae
Description: tRNA.Gly
Rfam family: tRNA (bases 7-64)
About the family: Transfer RNA (tRNA) molecules are approximately 80 nucleotides in length.
Source: RNAcentral